RNAcentral lists this ribosomal RNA (425 nucleotides) under uncultured bacterium. RNAcentral's name for it is "partial 16S ribosomal RNA". It matches the Rfam family "Bacterial small subunit ribosomal RNA", at positions 354 to 796 of the family's 1533-position model. The record is from RNAcentral.
GUGGGGAAUCUUGCGCAAUGGGCGAAAGCCUGACGCAGCCAUGCCGCGUGAAUGAUGAAGGUCUUAGGAUUGUAAAAUUCUUUCACCGGGGACGAUAAUGACGGUACCCGGAGAAGAAGCUCCGGCUAACUUCGUGCCAGCAGCCGCGGUAAUACGAAGGGGGCUAGCGUUGCUCGGAAUUACUGGGCGUAAAGGGCGCGUAGGCGGACAGCUUAGUCAGAGGUGAAAGCCCAGGGCUCAACCUUGGAAUUGCCUUUGAUACUGGCUGGCUGGAGUGUGGGAGAGGUGAGUGGAACUCCGAGUGUAGAGGUGAAAGUCGUAGAUAUUCGGAAGAACACCAGUGGCGAAGGCGACUCACUGGCCCAAUACUGACGCUGAGGCGCGAAAGCGUGGGGAGCAAACAGGAUUAGAAACCCCAGUAGUCC